CAGUUCGGAUUGCAGUCUGCAACUCGACUGCAUGAAGCUGGAAUCGCUAGUAAUCGCAGAUCAGCACGCUGCGGUGAAUAAGUUCUCGGGUUUUGUACACACCGCCCGUCACGCCAUGGAAGUUGGGAACACCCGAAGUUAUCCUACCGCAAGGUGGAUGCCUAAGGUGGAAUCAAUGACUGGGGCGAAGUCGUAACAAGGUAGCCGUACGGGAACGUGCGGCUGGAUCACCUCCUUUCUAA
This 242-nucleotide ribosomal RNA is filed under the name Caldifarciminota bacterium. RNAcentral describes it as "partial 16S ribosomal RNA". It matches the Rfam family "Bacterial small subunit ribosomal RNA", at positions 1289 to 1533 of the family's 1533-position model. The record is from RNAcentral. Lineage: Bacteria; Pseudomonadati; Caldifarciminota.